This 775-nucleotide ribosomal RNA is filed under the name uncultured Neocallimastigales. RNAcentral's name for it is "partial large subunit ribosomal RNA". It matches the Rfam family "Eukaryotic large subunit ribosomal RNA", at positions 24 to 635 of the family's 3401-position model. The record is from RNAcentral. Lineage: Eukaryota; Fungi; Neocallimastigomycota; Neocallimastigomycetes; Neocallimastigales.
UAUGUGAUCGUCUCUCGCAUAUCAAUAAGCGGAGGAAAAGAAACUAACAAGGAUUCCCUUAGUAACGGCGAGUGAAGCGGGAAGAGCUCAAAUUUGAAAUCUUCAAGGUUUUACCUUGACGAAUUGUAGUUUAAAGAAGUGUUUUCUGUUGAAGUUUUGGUAAAAGUUCUUUGGAAUAGGACAUCAUAGAGGGUGAGAAUCCCGUAUUUGACCAUUAUUUUCAGCUGUGUGAUACACUUUCAAAGAGUCGGAUUGUUUGGGAAUGCAGUCCAAAAUGGGUGGUAAAUUUCAUCUAAAGCUAAAUAUUGGCGAGAGACCGAUAGCGAACAAGUACCGUGAGGGAAAGAUGAAAAGAACUUUGAAAAGAGAGUUAAACAGUACGUGAAAUUGUCAAAAGGGAAGCGUUUGACACCAGUGUUGUUUUCUCGAAAAUCAAUUAAAAAGAGUUUAGAUUUUGUUGUGUAUUGACCUUAACAGCUUGCAUUUCAAUUUUCUUGCUUUUUUUAAUGCACUUUUCGUUUAACAAGUCAACAUCAGUUUCUUUUGUUGUAAAAAGGUCAUUGGAAGGUGGCUUUCUUUUCGGAGAAAGUGUUUAUAGCCUUUGACUCCUGCAAUCGGAGAGACUGAGGUCUGCAGCGUAGAUCCUUCGGGGUUAGAUACAUUUGUGCUAAGUUAUAGCUUUUUAUAGACAACUUGUUGACUAUGAUUAGUCUUGUAGCUUACUCGCUUAUGCUAUUUUACCUACGCUUAGGAUGUUGAAGAUGUAGCACAUCAU